Molecule: unclassified non-coding RNA, 347 nt
Filed under: Hevea brasiliensis (rubber tree)
Lineage: Eukaryota; Viridiplantae; Streptophyta; Magnoliopsida; Malpighiales; Euphorbiaceae
Source: RNAcentral
CGCCGACGGAGAUCGGUGACCUCUGUGAGGGGCUAUACGGAACCGGCGGCGGCGGCGGGUAUAUAGGGCAGGUAAUGAGGGAUGGAGAAGGAAGGACGUUUAAUGUGAAUGGGAGAAAUGGAAGGAAGUUCUUGUUGCAGUGGCUAUGGAGUCCGGUUCUGAAGGCCUGUGCCGGUCCCAAUGCUUUGGAUUGAAAGGUGAAAAGUUUAAAUUUCUGAUCAAUUUCGUUGUUAUUUUAAUGUAAUUUGAAGAACGGUCGCAGCGUCGAUGAGCUCAGCUCGAGCAACCGCCGUGGAGAUUGGUGGCUCCGCCGUGACGCGGAGGAGGGAUUUGCAGGGACGAGGAGG